This 492-nucleotide ribosomal RNA is filed under the name uncultured bacterium. RNAcentral's name for it is "partial 16S ribosomal RNA". It matches the Rfam family "Bacterial small subunit ribosomal RNA", at positions 29 to 507 of the family's 1533-position model. The record is from RNAcentral.
AGUGAACGCUGGCGGUAGGCCUAACACAUGCGAGUCGAACGGCAGCACAGUAAGAGCUUGCUCUUACGGGUGGCGAGUGGCGGACGGGUGAGGAAUACAUCGGAAUCUACUUUUUCGUGGGGGAUAACGUAGGGAAACUUACACUAAUACCGCAUACGACCUACGGGUGAAAGCAGGGGAUCUUCGGACCUUGCGCGAUUGAAUGAGCCGAUGUCGGAUUAGCUAGUUGGCGGGGUAAAGGCCCACCAAGGCGACGAUCCGUAGCUGGUCUGAGAGGAUGAUCAGCCACACUGGAACUGAGACACGGUCCAGACUCCUACGGGAGGCAGCAGUGGGGAAUAUUGGACAAUGGGCGCAAGCCUGAUCCAGCCAUACCGCGUGGGUGAAGAAGGCCUUCGGGUUGUAAAGCCCUUUUGUUGGGAAAGAAAAGCAGCAGGUUAAUACCCCGCUGUUCUGACGGUACCCAAAGAAUAAGCACCGGCUAACUUCGUG